This 490-nucleotide ribosomal RNA is filed under the name uncultured bacterium. RNAcentral's name for it is "partial 16S ribosomal RNA". It matches the Rfam family "Bacterial small subunit ribosomal RNA", at positions 29 to 507 of the family's 1533-position model. The record is from RNAcentral.
AAUGAACGCUGGCGGCAUGCCUUACACAUGCAAGUCGAACGGCAGCAUGACCUAGCUUGCUAGGUUGAUGGCGAGUGGCGAACGGGUGAGUAAUGCAUCGGAACGUGCCUUUUAGUGGGGGAUAACGUAGCGAAAGUUACGCUAAUACCGCAUAUUCUCUGAGGAGGAAAGCAGGGGACCUUCGGGCCUUGCGCUAGAAGAGCGGCCGAUGUCGGAUUAGCUAGUUGGUGAGGUAAAGGCUCACCAAGACAACGAUCCGUAGCGGGUCUGAGAGGAUGAUCCGCCACACUGGGACUGAGACACGGCCCAGACUCCUACGGGAGGCAGCAGUGGGGAAUUUUGGACAAUGGGCGCAAGCCUGAUCCAGCCAUGCCGCGUGAGUGAAGAAGGCCUUCGGGUUGUAAAGCUCUUUCGGCUGGGAAGAAAUCGCACCCUCUAAUACAGGGUGUGGAUGACGGUACCAGCAUAAGAAGCACCGGCUAACUACGUG